This 77-nucleotide transfer RNA is filed under the name Nitrospinota bacterium. RNAcentral's name for it is "tRNA-Trp". It matches the Rfam family "tRNA". From Rfam's summary of the family: Transfer RNA (tRNA) molecules are approximately 80 nucleotides in length. Their secondary structure includes four short double-helical elements and three loops (D, anti-codon, and T loops). Lineage: Bacteria; Pseudomonadati; Nitrospinota. The record is from RNAcentral.
AGGCCAGUAGCUCUAACGGCUAGAGCACCUCGCUCCAAACGAGGGUGUUGGGGGUUCGAAUCCCUCCUGGCCUGCCA